UACGCCUAACAGGAUAUAACUAUCCCUCA
Molecule: unclassified non-coding RNA, 29 nt
Filed under: Mus musculus (house mouse)
Lineage: Eukaryota; Metazoa; Chordata; Mammalia; Rodentia; Muridae
Description: oocyte_clustered_small_RNA5158
Source: RNAcentral